AACCUCCUCAAUGCACUAAAGUGCGAAGGGGUUACCUCGAGUGCCAUCUGAUGAAGGUGGCUUUUCCUUGGUCUAAAAAGCCUAGGGAAUAAGAGGGGGCAAGACUGGUGUCAGCCGCCGCGGUAACACCAGCCCCUCGAGUGGUGGGGAUGAUUAUUUGGCCUAAAGCGUCCGUAGCCGGCCGGGUAAGUUUCCCGUUAAAUCCAACGUCUCAAGCGUUGGACUGCGGGAAAUACUGCCUGGCUAGAGAGUGGGAGAGGUCAGCGGUAUUCUGGGGGUAGGGGCGAAAUCCUUUGAUCCCCGGAGGACCACCAGUGGCGAAGGCUGCUGACUAGAACACGUCUGACGGUCAGGGACGAGAGCUGGGGUAGCGAACCGGAUUAGAUACCCGGGUAG
RNAcentral lists this ribosomal RNA (396 nucleotides) under uncultured archaeon. RNAcentral describes it as "bacterial SSU rRNA". It matches the Rfam family "Archaeal small subunit ribosomal RNA", at positions 345 to 744 of the family's 1478-position model. The record is from RNAcentral.